RNAcentral lists this ribosomal RNA (257 nucleotides) under uncultured bacterium. Its description in RNAcentral is "partial 16S ribosomal RNA". It matches the Rfam family "Bacterial small subunit ribosomal RNA", at positions 1245 to 1500 of the family's 1533-position model. The record is from RNAcentral.
AGAGACGAAACAAGUGAUGUGGNGUAAAACUUAUAAAAGNGACCUCAGUUCGGAUUGAAGGCUGAAAUUCGCCUUCAUGAAGUCGGAAUUGCUAGUAAUGGCAGGUCAGCAUACUGCCGUGAAUACGUUCCCGGGCCUUGUACACACCGCCCGUCACACCAUGGGAGUCGGAAAUGCCCGAAGUCUGUGACCUAACCGUAAGGAAGGAGCAGCCGAAGGCAGGUCGGAUGACUGGGGUGAAGUCGUAACAAGGUAAC